Molecule: ribosomal RNA, 464 nt
Filed under: uncultured bacterium
Lineage: Bacteria
Description: bacterial SSU rRNA
Rfam family: Bacterial small subunit ribosomal RNA
Source: RNAcentral
UCCCAGACUCCUACGGGAGGCAGCAGUGGGGAAUAUUGCACAAUGGGGGAAACCCUGAUGCAGCGACGCCGCGUGAGUGAAGAAGUAUUUCGGUAUGUAAAGCUCUAUCAGCAGGGAAGAAAUAGCGACCUUUGGGUCGCCAGACGGUACCUGAUUAAGAAGCCCCGGCUAACUACGUGCCAGCAGCCGCGGUAAUACGUAGGGGGCAAGCGUUAUCCGGAUUUACUGGGUGUAAAGGGAGCGUAGACGGCAUGGCAAGUCUGAAGUGAAAGCCCGGGGCUCAACCGCGGGACUGCUUUGGAAACUGUAUGGCUUGAGUACUGGAGAGGCAGGCGGAAUUCCUAGUGUAGCGGUGAAAUGCGUAGAUAUUAGGAGGAACACCAGUGGCGAAGGCGGCCUGCUGGACAGAAACUGACGUUGAGGCUCGAAAGCGUGGGGAGCAAACAGGAUUAGAUACCCCAGUA